GAUGCAGAACGUAGCGAAAUGCGAUACGUAAUGUGAAUUGCAGAAUUCAGUGAAUCAUCGAGUCUUUGAACGCACAUUGCGCCCCCUGGUAUUCCGGGGGGCAUGCCUGUCCGAGCGUCAUUGCUGCCCUCAAGCACGGCUUGUGUGUUGGGCCUCCGUCCUCCUCCCGGGGGACGGGCCCGAAAGGCAGCGGCGGCACCGCGUCCGGUCCUCGAGCGUAUGGGGCUUCGUCACCCGCUCUUGUAGGCCCGGCCGGCGCUUGCCGACACAUCAAUCUUUUUUCCAGGUUGACCUCGGAUCAGGUAGGGAUACCCGCUGAACUUAAGCAUAUCAAUAAGCGGAGGA
This 345-nucleotide unclassified non-coding RNA is filed under the name soil metagenome. RNAcentral describes it as "partial contains 5.8S ribosomal RNA, internal transcribed spacer 2, and large subunit ribosomal RNA". The stretch from base 1 to 120 matches the Rfam family "5.8S ribosomal RNA", at positions 35 to 154 of the family's 154-position model. The record is from RNAcentral.